RNAcentral lists this ribosomal RNA (448 nucleotides) under uncultured bacterium. RNAcentral describes it as "bacterial SSU rRNA". It matches the Rfam family "Bacterial small subunit ribosomal RNA", at positions 64 to 507 of the family's 1533-position model. The record is from RNAcentral.
GAGCGGUAGAGAGAAGCUUGCUUCUCUUGAGAGCGGCGGACGGGUGAGUAAUGCCUAGGAAUCUGCCUGGUAGUGGGGGAUAACGUCCGGAAACGGACGCUAAUACCGCAUACGUCCUACGGGAGAAAGCAGGGGACCUUCGGGCCUUGCGCUAUCAGAUGAGCCUAGGUCGGAUUAGCUAGUUGGUGAGGUAAUGGCUCACCAAGGCGACGAUCCGUAACUGGUCUGAGAGGAUGAUCAGUCACACUGGAACUGAGACACGGUCCAGACUCCUACGGGAGGCAGCAGUGGGGAAUAUUGGACAAUGGGCGAAAGCCUGAUCCAGCCAUGCCGCGUGUGUGAAGAAGGUCUUCGGAUUGUAAAGCACUUUAAGUUGGGAGGAAGGGUUGUAGAUUAAUACUCUGCAAUUUUGACGUUACCGACAGAAUAAGCACCGGCUAACUCUGUG